RNAcentral lists this ribosomal RNA (261 nucleotides) under uncultured Bacillus sp. RNAcentral describes it as "partial 16S ribosomal RNA". It matches the Rfam family "Bacterial small subunit ribosomal RNA", at positions 505 to 766 of the family's 1533-position model. Lineage: Bacteria; Bacillati; Bacillota; Bacilli; Caryophanales; Bacillaceae. The record is from RNAcentral.
GUGCCAGCAGCUGCGGUAAUACGUAGGUGGCAAGCGUUAUCCGGAAUUAUUGGGCGUAAAGCGCGCGCAGGUGGUUUCUUAAGUCUGAUGUGAAAGCCCACGGCUCAACCGUGGAGGGUCAUUGGAAACUGGGAGACUUGAGUGCAGAAGAGGAAAGUGGAAUUCCAUGUGUAGCGGUGAAAUGCGUAGAGAUAUGGAGGAACACCAGUGGCGAAGGCGACUUUCUGGUCUGUAACUGACACUGAGCGCGAAAGCGUGGGG